This is a long non-coding RNA of Phyllopteryx taeniolatus (common seadragon), 1639 nucleotides long. RefSeq lists it as uncharacterized. The transcript is spliced from 5 exons. The record is from RefSeq and is a predicted model, not a curated record. Lineage: Eukaryota; Metazoa; Chordata; Actinopteri; Syngnathiformes; Syngnathidae.
GAAGCAGUUAGCGAGGGUGCCGCGGAUUGGUCGAGGAAGGAUACCACAUUUACAAGGGCGCCACCCAAAUAAAGGGAAGAUGCCACAGUCAAAAAGUGGGUGUCCAGGUUCAAAGGUGAAGAACAGGAGCCUGCUUUGAGUGGCGUCCGUGACGAGGAAAGGAGUUCAUGAAGUCAUCGGUUGCUUCGGCCGGACAACCAUAACCUAUCCCUCAUACUCACCCGAUCUGUCAUCGUCAGGUAAUCAAUCCCCUUUUUGGACCCUUAAAAGAAGAAGUUAGGGGUCAGCACUCCUCUGAUGGCUAACAGGUUAAGCGAGCUGUAAAAAGCUGGCUCAAAGCACAACCUGCUGAAUUUCACCAGGCUGGCAUCCGUGCCCUUUUUCAUCGAUGGACAGACAGUGUUGUGGAAAGGGGGGGAUGAUAUUGAAAAGUCCCCACUUUUGGGGCUUUAUUUCGGUGUGUAUAUUUCUGUACAUUGCCUUUCUAUUGCACUAAAUAAAGCUCGAGGAUUUUUGUGAUCAUAAAGCUCGUGGACGUGGUUAGCUGCCAUAUGCUCUGGCACGCCACCCCCUGAUAACCGAAAAGCUCUGAGCCCGAGUGCCCCCGAGCUGGGAGGAGCUGGCUGCGGUGGGUCUCUAUCAGUCACUGAGCAGUCACUUCUUAUCUCCCCAGGCUUUGAUGAGAGGAAAGGGAGGAAGAGGAGGGGAGGGGAGGGGAGGGGAGGGUGGUGGUGCUAGGGGUGUCUGAUCAUCUGAAUGUGAAGGUCAAGGAAUCUGAUAAGGGGUGAAGGUGCACCACGUGAACGAGACCCACAGUAGACAACCACUGGCGCGCUGCUCCAAUCUGUGCGGACUGGUUGCAAGAAAAGCUGGGUACACUUUGGACUGGCCGCCAUUCAAUCGUGUUGGAGGCUACUCCGAUGCGGCCAUUGCUUAUAGGGCUCAUCCCUUUCUUUUAAGAAAAAGAAGUCAUCUUUUUUCAAAUCUAAUGUUGAUAUGGCACAGCAAGGGCAGACAUUGCAGAAAGUUCCAUUUCCUGUUCACACAUGUGAUCUUCACACAAAUAACAAGACCGAUUCAACACAUUGAAUGUUAUUUAUCGAACAUGGUUUAAAAAGCACACUUUUUGUCCACGACGACAACAUUUUCGAACGAAUUGAUACCAGGAGGCACGCAAACAAAUGUGUGAGUAACCCAAUAGCUCAGCCUAAAAUCAGAGAUUAAGAGGGGAAAAAAAGCUUGAUUUUUCUUGUGUUUGACACUCGUUCAUUGUUCUUCUUUCCUGUGCCAUUAAUCGCAACAACGAGCGGGCGUGAUGCGGCUGCUUUGUGUGGACGUGAAAGACAUGCCGAUGGCGUAUGAAUAACGUCGAUAAAACAAGCUACAAGGGCGUAGUGAAUGUGAAUAGAAAGGACCUGCCUCGGCGGCCUUGUCGUCGUCCUUGAUCACCAUGGCGAUAAAGGCAACCCGCCCGCCGCAGGGAUCUUGUUGCAGACGCAAGAUAACGCAGACCUGUUGCGGCUAAGCACCAGGAGAUGAAGCUGGAUGAUGGAACGAGGGAGGAAGCCGUGGCAGGAAACCCCCCAGACAACCAAUAAUUUAACUUUAAUCUGAGCUCUGCAGGUGUACGCUGAACAAG